Molecule: ribosomal RNA, 207 nt
Filed under: uncultured bacterium
Lineage: Bacteria
Description: partial 16S ribosomal RNA
Rfam family: Bacterial small subunit ribosomal RNA
Source: RNAcentral
CUCGUAGGCGGUUCGUCACGUCCGGUGUGAAAGUCCAUCGCUUAACGGUGGAUCCGCGCCGGGUACGGGCGGGCUUGAGUGCGGUAGGGGAGACUGGAAUUCCCGGUGUAACGGUGGAAUGUGUAGAUAUCGGGAAGAACACCAAUGGCGAAGGCAGGUCUCUGGGCCGUUACUGACGCUGAGGAGCGAAAGCGUGGGGAGCGAACA